Molecule: ribosomal RNA, 253 nt
Filed under: uncultured bacterium
Lineage: Bacteria
Description: partial 16S ribosomal RNA
Rfam family: Bacterial small subunit ribosomal RNA
Source: RNAcentral
UACGAAGGGGGCUAGCGUUGCUCGGAAUUACUGGGCGUAAAGCGCACGUAGGCGGCUUGUUAAGUCAGGGGUGAAAUCCUGGAGCUCAACUCCAGAACUGCCUUCGAUACUGGAGGACUCGAGUCCGGGAGAGGUGAGUGGAACUGCGAGUGUAGAGGUGAAAUUCGUAGAUAUUCGCAAGAACACCAGUGGCGAAGGCGGCUCACUGGCCCGGUACUGACGCUGAGGUGCGAAAGCGUGGGGAGCAAACAGG